CAUCCAUUCGCCCUUGUCUGCCACUCUGCCUACCCCCCCCCCCCCCCAAUUCCUGGACCUUGUCUCCUUUUCUGCCCCUUGUUGCCCAACCUCUAACUGGGCUCCCACUUCGAGACGCUCCUUAGACUUGCUGUCACCCACCAGAGUUAUUACUCUAGUGCUGAUAAUGCCUCUGUGCCCCCUGGCUGCUCUCACUUCUACUGUCUGCCUUUUCCUUCCGGGGACUCUUUUUUGAAAGGAUAUUUCUAGUUCUUUUGUUGAGUGUCCAUGAGAGAUCAUUCCCAGUGACCCCUUCUGGGUGCCAACUACUGAGGAGGAAUACUUGCACUUUGGGGAGAAGGCUGACUCUGAGAACCAAGCCCGGAAGUACAUGAACGCAGUACGAAAGCGGAAGGGGCUUUAUGUGGAAGAAAAGAUUGUGGAGCAUGCAGAAAAGCAGAGGACACUCAGCAAAAAUAAGUAGCUACCUACUACUGGUGGAUUCUUUUCCUUAUAGUGAAUUUAAAAGUAUCAUCAAGGGUUUAAUAUUGGGAAAAUUUCUUUUUGCCACAUUAUCUCUGUUUAUUCACUUUCAAUAAAGUUGAUCCAUAUAAAUAUUUUAAAGAG
This 606-nucleotide long non-coding RNA is filed under the name Homo sapiens (human). RNAcentral's name for it is "HSALNT0223566". The record is from RNAcentral. Lineage: Eukaryota; Metazoa; Chordata; Mammalia; Primates; Hominidae.